AAUACACUUGAGAAGCUUCUGCCUAAAACACGGAAGAUGGGAGUUUUAUAUCCAUCAUGUCCUGUCCUUGCCUGGUUAAAUGUGGGUGAGGUUGUACACGUGUGCCAGCUCAGCUGAACAGGCUGGGCAGAAGCUCAGAAGCCCUAAGAAAGCAAGCAAGAUCAAGGUGAGGAUCUCUGAGGCUAUCGCUUAUCCCCACGUGCCACAGAAAUAGUCAGAGAACAAAGGCUUCAUAUGUUUAUCCUAAAAAUCUCAAGUGCAUCUGAAGGGAAUGCCUGGAGCUGAAGCAAGAUCAUCAACUCAGUGAAUCAGAUCAUCACAG
This 322-nucleotide long non-coding RNA is filed under the name Equus caballus (horse). RNAcentral's name for it is "lncRNA (ENSECAG00000047946.1)". Lineage: Eukaryota; Metazoa; Chordata; Mammalia; Perissodactyla; Equidae. The record is from RNAcentral.